RNAcentral lists this microRNA precursor (118 nucleotides) under Vigna angularis (adzuki bean). The record is from RNAcentral. Lineage: Eukaryota; Viridiplantae; Streptophyta; Magnoliopsida; Fabales; Fabaceae.
AAAGUAGAGUGCAGCCAAGGAUGACUUGCCGGCAGUUAUGUACUUACAUAUUUACUCUUCUUCUUCCUAUCUUUCACGCCGACGCCGGCAAGUUGUUUUUGGCUACAUUUUGCUCUCU